Molecule: long non-coding RNA, 27048 nt
Filed under: Triticum aestivum (bread wheat)
Lineage: Eukaryota; Viridiplantae; Streptophyta; Magnoliopsida; Poales; Poaceae
Description: long non-coding RNA (TAES_LNC027073)
Source: RNAcentral
UAGUCCAAAUCCCUUGCUUACCGCACUAUUUGUAUCAGUCCGCUCUACUAGCAGACUUUCUUUCAUAAAUAAUGCAGCACCUUUUUAUUGCAAUUGCAUUAUCUUUUAUAUAUAUGUUCAUUAUAUGACAUCUUGCACCCGUAUAUUUUGGUACGGUCCAAUAAACCGGGGGCUUACGUUCCCCACUCUAUGGUGUGAUAAGUCCGAACACUUUCACAAGUGCGGCACCCCGAACUUAUAGCAUUAUAUGAAUCGGCUCCGAAUCAUGUCUUGGGUCAAUAGUUGGGUUUGCCCGGCUCCCAUGUUUUGGUGCCUUACGUUCCGUUCCGUCGGCUAAGGUGGCACUGGGAGAACCACUGCGAUUGCGCCCCGGUUGAGCCGUGCGAGUGCCUCAGUGGAGAAAGCUAAAACUGACUGGCAUGAUAAGGCGAGAGACUGGUUGCUAUUCGAGAGGUUUUUUCGGGUCCUUAAAGACUCACGCCGCUUCGAGCGAAGUUCCGGACAAUGUCCGAUGAAGGCGUGGAUAGCGCCCCGGAUUCGGUCUUCCGAAUACCAGGGGCUUCACUGAAAUUUAAAAUUAUAGAAUUCUAUGGCUAAGUGAGAGUGUUCAAGCACUAUAAGUCCGGUUGCCUUGUUCGUUGUGUUGAGCGCCUCCCUCGAUGGACCCAACAAUGCGAACAAGAGUGCUCAAGUUUAUCCCGAACACCCCAGCACUCGUGGAUUGGGGGCUGAAGCCAACGACUUGCCAUCUCUCAGAUUUUAUAAACGGCUGCACAGAAGGUAAUAUUUUAAAUUAAACAAGUGUUGCUCAUGGCGCAUAUGAACGAAGUUUUCAGCGCACAGGAUAAAUACAUAGCGAGUUCACUCAAAGAUUACAUUUCGAGAGCACUCAUCGGCAAUAUCGCAGGCUCCCUUCAGGACAAUUUUAUAAUACUUCUCCGGCGUACGAUACUCCCUGCCCGGUGGUGGUGGAUCCGUGAGAAGCUUCUCCGCAUCCAACUUGCCCCAGUGCACCUUUGUGCGGGCAAGGGCCCGAUGAGCGCCUUCAAUACAGGCGGAGCGCUUGAUGACCUCCACCCAGGGGCAUGCAUCCACCAGCCGCCGCACGAGGCCAAAGUAGCUCCCAGGCAUGGCCUGUCCCGGCCACAGCCGGACUAUGAGGCCCUUCAUGGCCUCCUCAGCUACCUUGUGGAGUUCGACCAGCUGCUUCAGCUGGUCGCUUGGGGGCACCAGAUGGCCGGCCUCAGCGUACUGAGACCAGAAGACCUUCUCCGUCGAGCUCCCCUCCUCACCAUGAUAGAAUGCGGCGGCAUCAGACGCACUAUGCGGCAGAUCUGCAAACGCCCCUGGACAGCUCCGAAUGCGGGUAAGUGUCAGGUAGUUCACAUUAACAUGCCUGCUUUGCAUGAAAAAUGCCUUACCCGACGCUAUCUUCUUUAUGUCCUCAACCUCCUGAAGGGCCUUAUGGGCCUCGGCCUUGGCGGACUUGGCACUUUCGAGAGCCGAGGCAAGCUCAGACUCUCGAGUCUUGGAGUCACGCUCCAAACUCUCAUUUUUUUCCAUGAGAGCCUGGAGCUCUUGCCGAACUUCCGCCACCCGUGCCUCUUGCUUUUCUCGCUCAGCCCGUUCCACGGCCGCAUUGCGUUCGGCCGCGGACACAGCAUCCUUCAGGGCUGCCACCUCAUUAGUGGCCCCUGCAAUACACAUAUUAUCCUUGUUAAAUUUUAUUGCAACCAAAAUCCUUUUCUGUAAGGUACCUAUUCAAGGUGGUGUUACUCACCUUCUUUUUCCUCGAGCUGCCUCUUGGCAUGGCCGAGCUCUUGCUCGGACCGCUCGAGAUCCUUCUUCAGCACAUCGACCUCCGCCGUUAGUGCGGCAGAGGUCAGCAGCGCAGCCUGCAAACCCAUAUUGACAUAUUUUAGGCAACCCUGUGUAUAUCUUGUUAGAUCCUCAGUCCGACUUUUCUUUCCGAACACCGAACUAAGCAUCACGGGCUACUGUCUAUGCGGUACUACAUUACAUAAUUUUAAUUUCUUACCUCAAAGCCUGUUAGAAGGCUGCUGCAGGCUUCGGUCAGCCCGCUCUUAGCGAGCUGAACCUUCUCAAUCACCGCACUCAUGAUAGUGCGAUGUUCUUCCUCGAUGGAAGCGCCUUUAAGCGCCUCCAACAAGUUAUCCGGCGCCUCCGGUUGGACGGAGGCCACUGGCAUCACGGUCCUGCCCUUCUUUCGAAGGGGCCGCUUGCCGGACUAUGGAACCACUGCGGGUUCCGAUGUAGAGUCCGGCACAAAGUCCGGGAGGCUGCCUGACGGCGCCUCCGGAGCCUCCUCCUGAUGGGUCCCUCUCUGGGAUCCCACCUCGGCGUCUUCACCUCGGGGGGUAGUGGCGGUCGGAAGUGAGUCCACAUCCGACGGGGCCAAUGACCCGCUUGAUGAAGUGGGAAGAUCAUCAUCGGCCGGACUACGGACAGAAUACAGCGUUAGAAGGACAAUACGCGACACAAAAGAAAUUACACAUCAAGGAUCCGGAUACUUACGAUCUUGCCGGACGCCUGGCCCUUGGAGGCCACUCAUCCUCGCCAACGCUGGUAUUGGCGGAACUGUCCGGGGGGAUAGUUCUCCCCCUCUUGGACCCUUCGGCCUCCCCGAAUGGGGAAGCCUUCCUCUUCUUCUCUCCCUCCUCCGGGAGAGAAUACUCCUCCUCCUCGUCUUCGGGGGAGGAAUCCGCGUCGUCAUCAGACGCCUGAUUGCGGGAACUCUUUCGAGUCCCCGCGGCCACCUUCUUGGCCUUCUUCUCCGGCACCACGUGCGGUGCCGGAACCAGCAGCCCUGUUAAGCGGGCGUCCACUGGGUCUUCUUGCAUGGGAGCCGGGCUGAUAAGCAGCUUGGCCUUCUCCAUCCAUUCCUGUCAAAGGAAGAGGCAGAAUAAAACCUCACCAAGAGUUAAUUUAAUUGUCCCGUGAUGGGGUUGAAUCACUUACCUCGUCAGUUGGAUACUGCGAGCUGAAUCCGCGAUCUUCCGUCGCGGAUGCGGGGGCUUCGGCGCCCUUGAACAGCACCCUCCAGGCGCCUUCGUAUGUUGUAUCGAAGAGCCCGCUUAGCGCCUGGUGCUGUUCCGGAUUGAACUCCCACAAAUUGAAUGCCCGUUCUUGGCAGGGGAGAAUCCGUCGGAUGAGCAUGACUUGGACCACGUCAACAAGCCUGAGCUUAUUGCUCACCAUCUUCUUGAUGCAAGCUCGGAGUCCCGUCACCUCCACCGGAUUGCCCCACUACAAGCCCUUCUCUUUCCAGGAGGUGAGCUGCAUGGGGAUGCCAGAUCUAAACUCGGGGGCCGCCGCCCAUGUGGGCUUGCGCGGCUCGGUGAUGUAGAACCACCCCGAUUGCCACCCCUUGACGGAGUCCACAAAGGCCCCUUCGAGCCAAAGGACGUUGGGCAAUUUGCCCAACAUGGCGCCUCCGCAUUCCGCUUGCGUGCCCUUCACAUCCUUCGGCUUGACGUUGAAGGUCUUAAGCCACAGGCCGAAGUGGGGCCGGAUGCAUAGGAAGGCCUCGCACACGAUGAUAAACGCCGAGAUAUUGAGGAUGAAGUUCGGCGCCAGAUCGUGGAAAUCCAGGCCGUAGUAAAACAUGAGACCCCGGACGAUUGGAUGGAGCGGAAAGCCCAGUCCGCGGAGGAAGUGGGGGAGGAAGACGACCCUCUCAUGAGGCCCACGGGUAGGGAUGAGCUGCCCCUCGUCGGGCAGCCGAUGCGCGAUAUCGCUGGAAAGGUAUCCGGCGCUGCGCAGCUUGGUGAUGUCCUCCACCUUAGCAGUGGAGGCCAACCAUUUACCUCCCGCUCCGGACAUAUUCGGAGAAGGUCGAGGCGAGAUGCGCAAGCUUGGGCGUUGGAGCUUGAGUGCACGGAGAUGGAUAAGCAAAGGAGGAAGAAGGCGUAGGUGAGAAGGUGAAUUCUUAUCCCUUAUAUAUAGGCGGACGAAAACUAUGCGUCCCCCACCGGCCUGAUAAAACUCGCUUAUCUCCCAAGCGCCACCAUCAAUGGCGUGGUUGGGUUACCCACGUCUGUAUUGAUGAGGAUCCCGGAAUAAGGGGAACACGAUCUCUGCUUCGACAAGACGUGCCAAGGAAACCGCUUCGCUAAAUGUGCUGAGGUGGUAUAGUAAAAAAAGAUUCAAACAAAGGCUUGGUAGCGGUGUGAUGUCACGCCGCAUAAUACGUCCGCAGAUUGAGCUAGUGUAUAUCUUAUUCUCUCUAUGGUGGAAUGUGGAAUUUAUUUUGCAGAGCCGGACACUAUCCUGGUGUUCAUGAUCUUCUCUGGAUUAUUCAAGGGAGGAACCCGCCUUGAAUGCCGAACAUUAUGCGCGCCGGACUUAUCGUCAUUGAAGACUGGUUCAGGGGCUACUGAGGGAGUCCUAGACUAGGGGGUGUCCGGAUGGCCGGACUGUCAAUAUCCGCCGGACUACAAGACUACGAAGAUACAAGAUUGAAGACUCCAGCUCCUGUCCGGAUGGGACUUUCCUUCGCGUGGAGGCAAGCUUGGCAAUACGAAUAUGUAUACCUCCUACCAUUGUAACCGACUCUCUGUAACCCUAGCCUCCUCCGGUGUCUAUAUAAACCGGAGGGCUUUAGUCUGUAGGACAACAUACACUACAACAAUCAUACCAUAGGCUAGCUUCUAGGGUUUAGCCUCCUUGAUCUCGUGGUAGAUCCACUCUUGUACUACCCGUAUCAUCAAUAUUAAUCAAGCAGGACGUAGGGUUUUACCUCCAUCGAGAGGGCCCGAACCUGGGUAAAAACAUCGUGUCCCUCGUAUCCUGUUACCAUCCGCCUAGACGCACAGUUCGGGACCCCUACCCGAGAUCCGCCGGUUUUGACACCGACAAUGACCGCUACCCUGGAUCUCACUACUAUCAUUGCUAUGCUAGUUGCUUCAUUCUAUCGCUAUGCUGUGCUACCUAUCACUUGUUCUUCAUGCCUCCCCAAAUCGCCAUGUCAGCCUCUAACCUUUUUUCACCCUUCCUAGCAAACCGUUGUUUGGCUAUGUUACCGCUUUGCUCAGCCCCUCUUAUAGCGUUGUUAGUUGCAGGUUGUCGGGGCGUAUCUCUGUGGCCUCGAGCACCUAUGGGGCACUGGGGGCCCCUUCUGGUUCGGCAAGGGAGCGGAGGGCGUGCGCAGAGCAGAUCGAGGUUGAGCGCGCGGGGGAGACAGGCCAUUUUUACCCAGCUUCGGGGCUCUCCGAAGAGAUAAAACCCCUACUGCUGCUUUGGUGAUUGUAUUUGAUCUUGCUCGAGCGUGCGAGCGUAUGGUGAUCUCGUUGGUGUCGAAUGGACCGAACCCCUUCUACGUGCGCAUGGGCCUCCCUUUUAUAGUCUGAAGGGGGCACCCAUAGGUGGCAGCGUAGGAAGAGGGGGUAAAAAGGUAAAAACGCAGGUUGGUACAACAGUGCACAACAGUGCCCCUACCUAACUCUGACGGCAGGGGACAAGGGCAUUAAAUGCCCGUCUGGUCGCCCCAACAGUGUAAAGAAAUGACCGUUAGGUGAGCCACCGGUUGCCACGAUGGCGCCUCUGUCAGCUCCGUUUGCCACCUCGCUCCGCAUGGCUGCGUAGUGCCUCGCCACAUGCCCUUGGGAUGGCCUUGUGAUGACACGUCGCCGGGUGCGAUGGAGUUUGGGUGGCAGCCUUGCCGCGGCAAGUGCCUUGCCACGACCCUUCUCCUGUUGUGCCGGCAAGCUUGCCGGCCGUCGGGCCUUGCCGGGACGCGCGGGGCGCCGCGGCAAGUCUCCUGGUGGUGCCUUGGUUGGCCUUCCCGGCAAGCUCCUCUUGCCGGGGCCCUCGUUUUCUUGGUUAGUACUUUGUUCUUGAAUGGCAGUAAUGGGAAAUGGUGGAGGGUCUUGGCGGGCGCCCGGCAAGCCUUGCCGCGGGGUGCUGUGACUGCCCGUGCACAAGUUCGGGGUACUAAGGUACCCCUACUUUAGUACACCGACAGGAGCCCCCGGGCCUGGGCCAUACACGGUGCCGAGCGUUGUUGGGCCAGGCCCAAAACAGUGCACGGGCACGCGUGGCCUGGGUCCACUCAAAAAUCGACCUCCGAGCCCACCGCACUCUCCCGCAACGGCACGCAUCGAUUGCGGCGUCGUGGGAGACGUGGGUGGCGUGUGCGAUCUUCAAGGCGCCCACCCCGUGAUCACGGGGCAGGGCGAGGUCACUUCAUCCGUCGCCCCGUCUCUGCUUUUUCGCCACGCGGCUCCCAUGCGCAGGGGGUCGUGUGCGGCGAAGGUGGGAGAUCGGGCCGUCACGGGCGGAGAUGGUGGGUCGGCCCCGCUCCUCUGCCGCCCUCGUGCCCCAAUUGGCUGAGCGGGGCGGCCGAGCCCCCACCUCGCUCCUUUAAGAAGGGUGGAAGGGGAGCGCAAAAAAUCCCGCACUCCAUCCCCUUCCUCUUCCUUCAUCUUCCGUUACUCUUCCUCCCAUCUGCCAUGGAGGGAGGGAAUCCUGGUCCUUCUUCGGUGGCGGCGAGGGUCGCCACCAGGCAGCGCGCCUCUCCCUAUCCUGCGCCUGCGGCGGCGGAGCCAUCCGCGAGGGGAAGAGGGAGGGGGCGAGGCCGGGGACGUGGUCGGAGCGCUCGGGGGAGAGGCGGCCGGGGCGAUGCGCCACCCCCGUCUCCGCCGGCAGCUCCUCUCCUUGAGGCGGUCCACACUGGGGACGACCCCUGGGAGUUCUUCAUCAAGCUGCGCCGAGCACCUCGUCGCCGCCUCCGGCUGCCGGCUCUGUUCGCGAGCGCGAUGGAACCGGAUCCGCCCAAGAUGUUGGAGUUGCACAUGAGGGGUUGCGGGAUCAGCGGCACUCGAGUGAGUGUCGUAUCCCCAGCCCCCGGUGUGAUGUACUUCGACCGAGGGUGGAAGACGUUCGCCCGCAUCCAUAGCUUGACGGCGGGGUUUUCCCUCCAUUUUAAGUUAAUGGAGGGCGACCUUCUCGCCGUCAAGGUCUUCGGGGACUCCGGCACCAGGGCGAGAUGCUGCGUGGACAGCUCCUCCGAUAGCGAAGGCCCCUCCUCGAGCGAGAGUGACGAGGAGGGGAGCGACAGCGACGACGAGGAUGGCGGGUCCGACUAGGCGUCGGUCGCUGCCUCGCGCGCCAUCGGCGACCCCAUCAUCCGGGUCGCCGGCCUUCUGAACUCCCCGGGGCCGUCUCCUUGGGCGGCUGGCGUAGGGAGGCUGCGGAAGAGGAAGAGGGGUGGCGGCAAGGCCGUCAAUUCGGAGUACGAGGGCGAGGAGCCCUCGACAGCGUGCUGACGUCCCGCCGCCCCGUCUUCAAGCUCUGCCUCUGGCGCCUCCGCUUCCGCCGAGCUCCUGGCCGGCCCCCGGGAAGUUCUCUUGGUGUCUUCUGGCGCCCGUAGCUCACCUAGGCGCCCCUUUUGCCCUCCCCGGCAAGCUUCUCUUGCCGGGGCCUCCUUGACCUACCUCCUGGAGAGGGAAACAGGAGAGGGAUUACAGGCAUCUCAUCUUUUUAAUUUGUAAGCCUUCGGGCCUUAGCUGUAUUUAAAAUCUGUAAUCCUCUCUAUCAUGUUUUUCAUCCUCUAUGGACUUGUACUAAACUGGGAUGUUUUUAAUGAAAAAGAGGGGAAAACUUGCCGGAGUGAGUCCUUUACUUGAUUUCGUGCCUUGUAUGUUUCUGCCCUACGCUUCUAGGGAACUUACCGGAGCAAACACACUUGCUGAGUACGGAACGUCAGCAGCCCGCUGGCGGUGUUCCUCCCGGCAAGAAACCUUGUCGGGCCAGUUGCAGCGCGCUUGUAUUGUUGAGCGGACUCGGAAACAAAAUCAAGGGCGCAACUUGGCCACGACUCGGCUCCUCCACGCACGGGUUUUUCUUUACAAGGCACGCUCGUUCAAGGACGCGGCCCCGCCUUCCCCAGUCCAUAAGAGGAUGCAUGAUGAGGGAUGAAAAACUUAUCUGACUCCGCAGCCCCCGGCGACUUUAGCUUGCCGGGGAGGAACCUUGGCAUCCGCGGCCCCCGGCAAGUCUGGCUUCGCCAAGACCCAGGUGCCGGCGCGCCUUCCUUUGCCCUUGUCGCCGACGCCGCGGCCUCCGGUGACUCUGGCCCGUUGCGAGGGAACUUCGGCACUUGCAGCCCCCAGCGAAGCUGGCUUGCCGGGGCCCCUGCACCAGCGCGCCCCUCUGGCUUCUCCUUGUCACUGUGAUUAUAGCCACGAAAAUAACUGAGACAGCGCUGUAAUAAGCUAUUCUUUCAUGGUGCGACUCUGCAAUGCGAUGCCAUGCCUUGCCCUUCGUAUGUUUGCACUCUACGCUUUCUAGGGAACUUGCCGGUGCUAACACACUUGCUAAGUGCGGAACAUCAGCAGCCCGCUGGCGGUGUUGUUUCCGGCAAGAAACCUUCUCGGGUCAGUUGCAGCGCACUUGAAUUGUUGAGCGGACUCGGAAACAAAUCAAGGGCGCAACUCAGCCGCGAGUUAGUUCCUCCGCGCACAAGUUUCUCAUACGAAGGACGCCCCAUGGCAAGGCUUGCUACGUUACGCCCUCUACUUUGUUAUAUCCUUUGUACGUUUUUACCCUACGCUUCUAGGGAACUUGCCGGCGCUAACACACUUGCUGAGUACGGGACAUCAGCAGCCGCUGGCGGUGUUGUUUCCGGCAAGAAACCUUCUCGGGCCAGUUGCAGCGCACUUGUAUCGUUGAGCGGACUCGGAAACAAAACAAGGGCGCAACUUAACCACGAGUUGGUUCCUCCGCGCACAGGUUAUUCGUACAAAGGACGAACGCACGAGGAACAUAACAUAAAAAAAGCAUAGGACUAAGAAGUGCUCUGUACAAAAGCUCGGGUGACUUAGCUUUUCCGUCUUCAGCAAUCCGCCGAGGCCGUGCUUCUUCCCCGAUUCCCCCCCCCUUUUAUGUCUUCAUCCUCACACUUUCGGGGAACUUCCCGGUGCAAACACACUUGCUGAGUGCAGGACAUCAGCAGCCCGCUGGCGGUGUUGCCUCCGGCGGGAAGAACUCGUCGGGCUGGUUGCGGUGUGCUUUUAUCGUCGAGCGGACUCGAAACGGAUCAACGGCGCAACCUAACCACGAUUCGACCCCUCUGCGCACAGGUUCUUCAUACAAGGUAUGGACUCUCGGAGAGCACAACUCAAAAGUUCGAAGCUUGGCAACUUUCUUUGCCUCACUGGCUGGCAGAGCUCGAUGGUGCGUCCUCGACGGCAGCGCGACGCUCCGGAGAGGCGGGCUUGCCGGAGCAAGCACCAGAGCCGUUCUUGCCGGGCUUAGUCUUUGGUUGGUCUGUCUUUGUCUUCUCGCACUUGCCGGUGGAGCUCGAUGGUGCGUCCUCGACGGCAGCGCAGCGCUCCGGGGAGGUGCGCUUGCCGGAGUGGGCAUCAGAGCUAUUCUUGCCAGACUUGGCUUUCUUCUUCCCCCGGGGAGCUUCAGCGGCAAGUGGCUCACGCUCUGCUGCGGCUGCUGCUUCCCGGUAGAUCUUGUUGGCGCAGAUGAGUGCAUCCCUGUUGUCGCCUUGGACAGAGAUGACACUCAUCGGACCAGGCAUCUUGAGCACAUUGUAUGUGUAGUGAGAGGCCGCCAUGAACUUGGCGAGUGCGGGUCGACCGAGUAUCCCGUUGUAGGGUAAUGGGAUAUCAGCCACGUCAAACGUGACCCUCUCAGUCCUGAAGUUCAGUUCGCUGCCGAACGUCACUGGCAAUGUGAUCUUCCCCUUUGGCUUGCUCCUUCCCGGAUUUAUUCCUUGAAAGGCACCAGUUUCUUCGAGCUCGCUGUCGGGGAUCUGGAGCUUUUUGAGCACUGCGGAGGAAAUUAGGUUCAGGCCGGCCCCGCCGUCGACCAACAUCUUCGUAACCUUGAGGUUGCGGAUUGUUGGUGAGACCAACAUCGGCAAGCACCCGACCGUAGUGAUGCGAUCAGGGUGGUCCUCAACGUCGAAGACGAUGGGCAUGCUGGACCACUUCAGAGGCUUGCGCGCCUCGACGGACGGCUCCGCUGCAUUCACUUCUCGCACCCACUGUUUGAGUUGGCGGUGCGAGGUGUGCAGGGAGGCGCCGCCGUCGAUGCACAACACUUCUGUUGCCUUCUGAAACUCCUGGUCAUCAGUCUCAUCUUCCUCCGUCUCAUCAUCCUCAUCUUCAUCUUCGUCCUUGUCGCGGCCGCGGGGAGGCCUGUCUCCUUGCCGCGGCUUAGCCUUGCCGCGGUGCCCUCCCCGGGCGGGAAGCUUCUUGCCGGAUCCUCCGCCACCUCCCUGGGCUCUCUCCUUAUCGCGGCGCUCGUAUUCGGCUUUUUGUAGCUCCGCCAUCUGCUCCACUUUCUUGCAGGUUUGGAGAUCAUGUCCCUUGGUGCGGUGGAUCUUGCAAUACCGCUUGCCGGAGCCAUCCUGCUUGUCGGCGGCUGCUACAGCCUCGCCGGAGUCGUCGGUCUUGGCCUUGUCGGAGCCGCCUCCGUUGCCGGAAUGCUCAACAGCUAGUACAUCCUUAGCCUUUCUCUUCCUAUUCUUCCGCCUCCGGUUCUUCCUUGCCGGGGCGGCAUCCUCACUGUCAGAUCCUUCUGCUCCAGCAACCUCUCCGGGGAUUUUCCUCCCCUCCUCAGCCCAUGCACACUUGUCGGCCAGAGCGUAGAGCUCGCUGACAUCUCUGAUUUUGCACAUCGCCAUCUCCUCCCUCAUCCUGCGGUUACGCACGUUCUGAUGAAACGCGCUAAUAACCGCGGCGGGGUGGACGUCUGGGAUGUUGCGCUGCACCUGGCUGAAUCUUUGUAUGUACUUGCACAGGGGCUCCCCCUCCUUCUGGACGAGCAAGUGGAGGUCACUCUCCUGGCCAUGAGGCUUGUGGCCACCCGUGAAGGCGCCGACAAACUGAUGACACAGGUCUGCUCAUGAGGAGAUGGAGCCGUCCGGCAAGUGCAUGAGCCAAGAUCUGACGUUGGGCUUGAGUACCAGCGGGAAGUAGUUGGCGAGGAUCUUCUCGUCGCGCCCUCCGGCAGCCUGCACCGCGAUGGUGUAGAUGCUGAGGAACUCCGACAGAUGUAUCCUGCCAUCAUACUUCUCGGGCACGUCUGGCUUGAAGUUUUUGGUUUUGGGCCACUGGACUUGCCGCAACUCACGGGUGAACGCAGGGCAACCUGCCACGUACGGCAAGUCGCCUGGUUCUCCGGGUGCAUGCAUGUCGACGGCGGGCCCAGCGCGCUGGUCAGAUUGACGUCGCGCUUCUCUCCGGCGCUCGAUGCGAGUGCGGGCGUCUUCGUGUUGCCGUUCUUGGAGGACGUGGCGUUGAUCACGGCGAGUUCGCGGGUCUGAAGACGCGGUGGAGUCGCCGUCGGGGUUGGUCCGGCGAGCCGGCGAUCUUGGCCUUCGGCGCUGGGAGUGCACGGAGGUGGCACCCCCAGCGGUCUUGUCAGCGUCGGCUUGCGCCUGGGCGCCUUGCCGGGGCCUCGAUACGCUCGGUCGCCGGGGUUUGUCGCCGUUGGCGAAGCCGAUGAGGCUGUAUAUGGUCAUCCUCCAGUCGUCGAUCUUGUGCGGCGCCGGAGGAUAGUCUAGAAGCAGCUGGGCUCGGGCCAGCGCUUCCUCUGCUGUCUUCGGUGGCGGUGGUGAUGAACGGCGCCAGGAGCGGGAUGUGCUCGGACUCCGAACUGGAUUGGGAGGUGCAACACCUCGUCCGGGCGACCGUACCUCGCUCGCGCCAGCAUGCGGGCGUGCAUGCUGGCCUCGAGCGUCCCGCAACCCACCAGCUUGGCCUUGUUCCAACGCGAGCACGGUGCUAGGAGCACCGGGGCGUUGUUGACCUUGCACCUCCUGGGAAGGGUGCGGUGUCUGUACGGUCGCCGACGCUUGCGGGGCCUUGUUCUUGGAUCUAGUGACGACGCGAGACCCUCCCGCGGCUCCUGCUCCUCCACCGGCGUCUACUCCACCACCUGUUUGCUCCGGCGGUGGUGGCGGAAUUGAUGUAGACGGAGCGGCAACCUCCGAAGGCUUCUUCUUCGGUGGCAUGUUGAGGAUGACGUUGAUGUAGCGCGCGCGGAGACCGGAUCAGAUGCUCACGACCUCGACGCCCCCCUACCUGGCACGCCAAAGAUGUCAGGGUGUAUCUCUGUGGCCUCGAGCACCUAUGGGGCACUGGGGGCCCCUUCUGGUUCGGCAAGGGAGCGGAGGGCGUGCGCAGAGCAGAUCGAGGUCGAGCGCACGGGGGAGACGGGCCAUUUUUACCCAGCUUCGGGGCUCUUCGGAGAGAUAAAACCCCUACUGCUGCUUUGGUGAUUGUAUUUGAUCUUGCUCGAGCGUGCGAGCGUAUGGUGAUCUCGUGGGUGUCGAAUGGACCGAACCCCUUCUACGUGCGCAUGGGCCUCCCUUUUAUAGUCUGAAGGGGGCACCCACAGGUGGCAGCGUAGGAAGAGGGGGUAAAAAGGUAAAAACGCAGGUUGGUACAACAGUGCCCCUACCUAACUCUGACGGCAGGGGACAAGGGCAUUAAAUGCCCGUCUGGUCGCCCCAACAGUGUAAAGAAACGACCGUUAGGUGAGCCACUGGUUGCCACGAUGGCGCCUCUGUCAGCUCCGUUUGCCACCUCGCUCUGCAUGGCUGCGUAGUGCCUCGCCACGUGCCCUUGGGAUGGCCUUGUGAUGACACGUCGCCGGGUGCGCUGGAGUUUGGGUGGCAGCCUUUCCGCGGCAAGUGCCUUGCCGCGGCCCUUCUCUUGUUGUGCCGGCAAGCUUGCCGGCCAUCGGGCCUUGCCGGGACGCGCGGGGCGCCGCGGCAAGUCUUCUGGUGGUGCCUUGGUUGGCCUUCCCGGCAAGCUCCUCUUCCCGGGGCCCUCGUUUUCUUGGUUAGUACUUUGUUCUUGAAUGGCAGUAAUGGGAAAUGGCGGAGGGUCUUGGCGGGUGCCCGGCAAGCCUUGCCGCGGGGUGCUGCGACUGCCCGUGCACAAGUUCGGGGUACUAAGGUACCCCUACUUUAGUACACCGACACAGGUGAAGUUGAAGAUUGCCCCAUGAUGGACAGGAUUAUGUUGGGAUAUCACAAUAUCUCUUAUUUAAUUAAUGCAUCUAUAUAUUUGGUAAAGGGUGGAAGGCUCGGCCUUAUGCCUGGUGUUUUGUUCCACUCUUGCCGCCCUAGUUUCCGUCAUACCGGUGUUAUGUUCCUGGAUUUUGUGUUCCUUACACGGUCGGGUGAUUUAUGGGACCCCCUUGACAGUUCGCUUUGAAUAAAACUCCUCCAGCAAGACCCAACGUUGGUUUUACCAUUUGCCUCACCUAGCCCUUUUUCCCUUGGGUUUCCGGAGCCCGAGGGUCAUCUUUAUUUUAGCCCCCCCGGGCCAGUGCUUGUCUAAGUGCUGGUCCGAACCGAGUAGACCGCGGGGCCCCCCUCGGGGAAACUCGAGGUCUGGUUUUACUCGUAGGAUGUCUCAUCCGGUGUUGCCCUGAGAACGAGAUAUGUGCAGCUCCUAUCGGGAUUGUCGGCGCAUCGGGCGGCUUUGCUGGUCUUGUUUUAUCAUUGUCGAAAUGUCUUGUAAACCGGGAUUCUGAGACAGAUCGGGUCUUCCUGGGAGAAGGUAUAUCCUUCAUUGACCGCAAGAGCUUAUAAUGGGCUAAGUUGGGAUACCCCUGCAGGGUAUUAUCUUUCGAAAGCCGUGCCCGCGGUUAUGUGGCAGAUGGGAAUUUGUUAAUGUCCGGUUGUAGAUAACUUGACACCAGAUCCGAAUUAAAAUGCAUCAACCGUGUGUGUAGCUAUCGUUCUCCAAAUCUUACUAGUGCAUUGUUCAAAUACCCUCUAAUCAGUUCAUGAUCUCUUCGUUCUCAUGUAUCUAAAUCCCCUCAAGUAUCUUCAUUCAUUUUCCAAUUCUUCCCGAUGAAUUGUGCCUUUGCUACUUUCAUUUUCAAUUCUUAUGGUGGUUCGUUCAAGAUUUCACUUCCUUCGUUAUCAUAUCAAAUAUUUGUUGUUUCCAAAUCCCACCGGUGGUUCCAUCAAUACCUUCUCAAGUUUACGCUAUAUCUCUUUUAAUCCUUUCUACGGGAAUAAGUAGUAUGCCAAAUCCAUUGCUUGUCAUCAAUUAAAUUUGAUGAAGGAUAAGCAUACAAUAAAUCUUAUUCUUAUUUUCUUGAGGUGACUCAAUUCUUUUUACGGAGAUUAUUCAUGAUGAAUAAAUUCUUGAUUACAAGUGAUACAUCUUUAUUUCCGGAGUUGGUCAUCAUAUCACAUUCUCGGUUCGAGAGGCUUCAUCUUUCUUUUCGUAGUUCCAAGCUCUCUCAAUUAUCUCGUCCCGAAGCUCCAUCUAAAUCAUUGCAAGGCUUCAAUCUUGUUCGCUUCAGUCUUCAAUUCUUUUAUGUUAUCAUUUCCUAUCUGGAGUUCUUCAUGGAGGCUCAACAUCGUGGUUCAUCAAGGAUUUAAUUCAUUCUUGAAGUGUUCUUCAAGACUCUUGUUGGAGGAGUUCAAGCAUCCUUCAUCGUGCUUUCCGAAGUGCAAUUUCUUCUAUCUUAUCUUUUGAGAUGGUGUUAUGUCACUCUUGACAAUUUCCCUUUGUGUUUCAUGAUUCACAACUUUUCAGGAAUGAGAUAUUGUAAAACCAUCAUUUUCUCUUCUUUCAUGAGUUGUUUCAACCCAUGAUAAUUUCUUUGUUGGAGUUAUCGUGAUAUAGAUUUCACCUAAAGCCUCCCCUAAGGAAUGUUGCUAUUUGUGGUACUUAUCAAUGAUCCAAGUUAUCUCUUUAUCAUGGUGGAAGAAGUUUUUCAUCUCUUCAUUGAUCUCAAGCAAGCAAUUGUUUUUCGUUAGUGGCAGAAUUUUACCUCUUAGUCCUGGAAUGUUUUCCAUAAGGCCACUACAAGCUUAUUCGUUUCGUUGUUGGUUUUCCAACAACUCCGUUCUAGCAUUUCUUGUAAGCGUGCUCUUUCAAGAUCUUGUUUCCCUCCGUUCAUUCCAUUCCAUUCUUUCAUUUCUUCCGGAGCCAUUGUGAUGUUGCUCUCGUUAACCCAUCAUCUCGUUUUGUCAAGAUCAUAUUAUUCUCUUGCUUAUCCAUUUAACCGGAGUGUUGUGUUCUAAUUCAAGUUCUUUCAUCUUGUCAAGUUUUGCCUCUAUUUUCAACCUAAGUGCUUUCGGAGGCAGUGUGUUGUUGAUUUCAUCAAGUUUCAUCCCAUCUUCUCAAGUUCAUGUUCAAUUCCUUCCAUUUACAGUCGGAGUGCUGCCCAAAUUAUAUCAUUCUUAUUCAUUCUUAUCUCGUUUCAACCAGAGUGGUUUCAAUUCCUUCCUGUCCAUUGUGCUUGUCAUUCAUAGCUUUGCAACCUCCAAGGUUCACAUGGUGUUCCUUGGUUCUCUUUUCUACUGGAGUGCUCUCAAUUGUGUUCAACUCUGUUGUGUUCUUUCUUUCAACUUUUCAACCUCUCAAGGUUCAUGGUUUCACUCGUUCGUCAAAGAAGCAACUUAAUUUUACCUCUUAUCUUCCUCUUCCUUUUCCCUCCGGUGCCAUCCUAGAUCUCGGGACGAGAUCCUCUUGCAGUGGUAGAGUGUUGUAACGCCCCGGAUACAACUUUCCAUAUUCGUAACUCCAACUCUUGCCUUUUCCGGAGAUGAGAUAUAAUAUUUCCUCCGUGGUUGGGGUUUUUCUCUUUUGUUUUGCAUUUUGUUCUUGGCGUGCAUCUCAUCUCAUAGCAUCAUGCGCAUUGCAUUUGCAUGCUUUCAUAAAAAACUCGUAGACGUUCGCAGUUGCCCUUUCUCUCUUUGCCUCCGUUGUCAUUUUGUCAGACCCUUGUCCUUGUUGACCUCUCUUGACCCCUCUCGCGCGUGUCCGAAACUCCCCCGAACCCGACCCGGACAGUCAUCACCGUUGGGUUCGGAUCAUCCCCCAACAUCUAUAAAACAUCCCCGUUUUCUUAAUUGGACGUCCUAACCUAUUUUCCCUCAGCCGUCCGAUUACGAUCCGAGGGUCAUUCUAGUACCUUCCUAAAACUCCUUUGCUAUAUAAAAAGACCAACCCAAGAUCCUAGGAGCCUUGUCCCAUCGCGCCGCCGCCACUCCUCCCGUCCCCUCUUCCUCUGGAUCUCCUCUCGAUCAAAAAUCCUCCCCUCGUUUUCAGCCUCGAACCAACCAGCUACCACCGAUCCUCUUCCUUGGGAUCCAUCCCUUCCCGAUCCACCAACCACAACCAGGCUCCUUCUCCUCCUCGUUUCCCCUCCUCUGCUCGUUCAUCCCCGAGCAGCGCCUCCACCGUCGCCGGUGACCGCGUCACUAGGACCCUCGCGCACGAGCUCCUCCCUUCUCACGCGCCUGAGACCAGUAGCAGCAGCCCCAGGCCGACCCCGCGCCCUCUCCCUUGGUCCUUCCUUCUCUUCCUUCUUUCUCCUGAUCUCACAUCUCUCUCUCUCGCUCUCGCAGGACCCUGACGGCCAAGGCGCCAGGAGCCCGCAGCCACAGCCAUGCAGCCCCGCAAGCAGCAGCUCCACCGGAGCUCCCUCUGCCGUCUAGCCCGUCCAGCCAGGUCGCCCCGUUGCGCCCCCCGUCCUUCCAUGGUUCUCCUUUCUCAUCCUUGUGCCUCACCUCUCUCUUUUGCGGGUUUCUGCAAGAGCAGCAGCAACCGCCAUGGCCGCCUGAGCUCUUCAACACAGUCCGCGCCCUUCCCUGCAUCGGAUCCGGCUGGAUCCGCCUCCUCCUCCAGCCACGGCCCUUCCUGGCCGGAUCCCACCGCCGCGCUGCCGUUUCAGGGCUCCAGCUGCUCAAGUCCCUCCUCACCGCGCCUCUGCUUCGUGCAAUCAGUGGACGAGGCGCCAGCUCCCUCAUGCCUCGCGUUGACCGCGCCACUAGCAUGCGUGGGCCACCGCAUCGCCCUUCACCCGCAUCAGCCCAGCAGCCUCUUGCCCCAGCGCCUCCUCAGCCGGCCUGCUGCACCGACUGGGCCGAGCCCAUGGGUGAGCAGCCCCCAAUAGCCCGUCUGCUCUGUUGGGCCAGUCAGUUUCGGCCCAACGCAUGUUUUUUCCCUCUGGACGAUUUUAGCUAUUUAUCCAGAGUUUACUGUUUUACAGAAAAACCCUGAUGCUCAUGCAUGUAAUAACUAAUUAACCAUGCAUCGGUUUAAAAUGUUUUAUAUAUGUAAAAUGCCUAAAAUUUCAUCUAGAUGCAUAAUAUCCAACUUUCAUCCAUGUUUAAAAUGCUUAAAAUGUUGUUUGUUUAAAUUUGCUUAAAUGCCAUGCUAAAAUGAUUUAUUUCAUAACUAAUUAACCGUAGCUCGGUUUUAAAUGUUCUUUAUAUGUAAAUGGGGUGGAAAAAUUCAUAGAAUAACAUGGUCCACCUUAUUUUCCUGUUUAACAACUUUAAAAUAUGGUUUAGGUCAAAACAGUACCAAUUUCGAAAUAUGCAUAUGGGAUUUUCCUGAAUUGUUGUUCGUUGUUCCGGCCUCAUUUAAACUUGCCUAGAUAGGUAGUUUUCUAUGUUUCACCUCUUGCCAUGUUUAACAACAUUUAAUAUUGUUGUGUGCCUAAAUGAGAGUGAACUAAAUAAAUUGAUGUGGUGUUUCGUCAAUAUGUAACCCGUUGCAUAUUGAGCUCCACUUAACUUGUAGUGUUGUUUGUGCACUUUGCCAUGCCAUGCCUCUUUAAACCCGGACAUGCAUCAUACUUGAUUGUGCAUCAUGCCAUGUUUAUGUGUGGUGUGUUUACCAUGUUGUGUGCUUCUUCUCGAUAGUUCCCGUUUGGUUGCGGUCGUGAGGAUUCGUUCGUCUACGCUUGGUUUGGCUUCACCACUUCGUCUUCUUCAUGGACUCGUUCUUCUUCCUAGCGGGAUUUCAGGCAAGAUGACCGCUACCCUGGAUCUCACUACUAUCAUUGCUAUGCUAGUUGCUUCGUUCUAUCGCUAUGAUGUGCUACCUAUCACUUGUUCUUCAAGCCUCCCCAAAUCGCCAUGUCAGGCUCUAACCUUUUUUCACCCUUCCUAGCAAACCGUUGUUUGGCUAUGUUACCGCUUUGCUCAGCCCCUCUUAUAGCAUUUUUAAUUGCAGGUGAAGUUGAAGAUUGCCCCAUGAUGGACAGGAUUAUGUUGGGAUAUCACAAUAUCUCUUAUUUAAUUAAUGCAUCUAUAUAUUUGGUAAAGGGUGGAAGGCUCGGCCUUAUGCCUGGUGUUUUGUUCCACUCUUGCCGCCCUAGUUUCCGUCAUACCGGUGUUAUGUUCCCGGAUUUUGCGUUCCUUACGCGGUCGGGUGAUUUAUGGGACCCCCUUGACAGUUCGCUUUGAAUAAAACUCCUCCAGCAAGGCCCAACCUUGGUUUUACCAUUUGCCUCACCUAGCCCUUUUUCCCUUGGGUUUACGGAGCCCGAGGGUCAUCUUUAUUUUAGCCCCCCCCGGGCCAGUGCUUGUCUAAGUGUUAGUCCGAACCGAGUAGACUGCGGGGCCCCCUCGGGGAAACUCGAGGUCUGGUUUUACUCGUAGGAUGUCUCAUCCGGUGUUGCCCUGAGAACGAGAUAUGUGCAGCUCCUAUCGGGAUUGUCGGCGCAUCGAGCGGCUUUGCUGGUCUUGUUUUAUCGUUGUCGAAAUGUCUUGUAAACCGGGAUUCCGAGACUGAUCGGGUCUUCCAGGUACAGGUUAUGCGACGAUCUUGACGCGAGAGAGAUGUUUACUUGUUUUGGAGUUCUUCUUCUACUUCUUCUUCCAUCAGGGGAUAGGUUCCAGGUCGGCAGCCUGGGCUAGCAAUGUGGAUGUCGUUUGAGUUUCUGUUUGUGUUUCAUCCGUAGUCGGAUGGUGAUCUUAUGUAAGAUGAUGUUGUAUUCAUGUGGCAUUGUAUGCCUUACGUAUGUAUCCCUUUCUAUUAUGUAAUGUUGAUGUAAUGAUAUCCACCUUGCAAAAGCGUGUCAAUAUGCAGUUCUAUCCUUGGUGGGACCUUCGAGUCUCUUUAGGAUAGUUUCGCAUAUUGGGCGUGACAGCCGGGGGGCACGGAUCAGCACUCCCCCUCCGGGCAGGGGGCUGGGGGCUGGCGCCCUUGAGGCGACCGGGCACGCCCUGCCAGAAGCGCAGGGAGUACCCCAGCCAAUCACGGUCCACCACCAGACGAGAAGCCCACGGCAGGCUGGCUAUGCCACGAGAAGGCUCGCGAAGGAAGGCCGCGGGGAGCGCAGGGCCGCGUUGCGCCUCGGGAUGGUUCGUCUCACCAACCGGCCUCACCACAAGGGCCCUGCUGCUCGGAACGAUCGAAGACGGCGGAGAGGGCAUAGGCGAGGGGGAUGGCUCCUCAGCCACCUCCAUGAGCUCGGAAGGAAGGGCCCUGCGGAGCAAAGAUCAGGAAAGGCAACAGAAGAAUCAGGAGCUGGGAAGGGAGAAGGCUUACUCAUCGAUGGCGAAGUACUUCCUACGCUUCAGCAGGCGACAAGGGUAAUCAUCGCCCAGGGCCUCCCUUCUCUUCCGGAGGGCCUCAAAGUCCACGCGGAAACGACCCAAGAGUUGAGCGCAGGGGUUAGCUUGUGACAAGGAGGAAGCACCAAGGCGACCUGUGUCGGGGGCAUCUACCUGAUGCGCGCCGCCGGUCGCCCCACCAAGAAGAGCAGCUGGGGCCUCGGGGGCCUCAGCCGCAGGCACUGCGGGCGGCUGCUCGCCACCUUCAGCCACGGUAGCAUGGGCCUCAGGGGCUGCUCCCUCAUGAGUUCUGCCCAGUGCUGUCGCCUCGAUAGGGGCACCCUCGGCCUCCGGAGGCCCGUGCCUCCCUGCUCCGCCACUUCAGGAAGAGUCGCCCUGGCCGGCUGCGAGGGCGACCACCACCACUGGGUUCUCGCGAGGCCCCUGGAGGCCAGCAGGGCGCAGCCCCCAUUCGUCGAAGAUGGGUAUCUGACUCACGAAGUCACCUCUAUUCGAGCAGAGGUACAACAAGGCCCCCCCUUGCCGGAUGCCGCCGGGGGAAGGAUCCCCAAUCAAGACCAAGAGCACCUUCCUCAGUGCUUCAGGUGUCAGGUCCUCUUCCUGGAGCCGCAUACGAUCCCCACGACCGCUGAAGGCCCACAUCCGAUGAGAAUGGCGUUGGAGAGGGGCCACGCGGCGUAGCAAGAACUCCUUCACCACCUUGGGCGCCAUCACGCUGAGCUCCCUCAAGAACUCGAAGCGACGCCAGACAAAGGCGAGCCGGGGGCUCACGAGCGUCUCCUGGCCCUAGCUUGAGUUGGGGACAGCAGGCGAAGAUGGCUCCGUCAGCAGGGGGCUGGGCACCCCUACAUCCACAUAGAGCCACCGCUCGCAAAACCUAGGCGCGGGCGGAGGAAGACUGAAGUCAAGCCCUGAAGCUGUUGUCUCAGGCGCAGCGACGAAGCUCACGCACCCCGAACAUUGGGUGGGGUCGACAAGGUGCAGAGAGAAGAAGUGGCGCCGCAAGGCAACCGAAGGAAGGAUGCCCAUCAUUGCCUCACAAACGAAAGCGAAUACCGCGAGAAGAGUGAUGGAUUCAGGACCCAGAUGCAUCAUAUGGAUCUGAUAAUGGGAAAGCACGGCGUUGAAGAAGUCAGAAAAGGGGGGAACCAGUCCUGCCCACAGGGCGUCGGCGAAGUAACGGACCUCAGUGGAAAUCCUGUCAAUGGAGAAGCGGGACGCGGGCCAGGCCGUCGUCCUCCCGCAUUCGUUGAAGAUGGUGGCCAGGGCCGAGCUGACCUUGCCCAAGCCCUCUUGAUUGGUUAUGAUUGGCCGAUCGAUGGCGGGGGCCACCGAUGAUGAUGGGCGAGGCGGCGGCAUGGGCUUCUUCCCUCUUCCCUUCCUCGGCGGAGCCAUGACGGCAGAGAAGGGGGGGGGGAAGGUUCGAGAUUGGAUUGGAUGCGGAAACUGGAGUUCGAGAGGAGAAAGGACAGAGAGCGCUCAAGCAGCGGAAAUGGGAGCGGCUGUGUGCGGCUACGAGUCCGCCUAGCAUUGCAUAAAAUAAGGAAGCGUGGGGGAACGGUGCCACCCACGUCCAAUCAACCGCCACGCGGCGCCCAAGGCCGCAGCCUGUUAGGGCCCGCGAUGCUUCGCACUUGCCCUUUCGCCUCUCUGCUCGGCCAAGUCCGGGCGCGCCGUGGGCUCGGGGGCUACUGUCGGCGUUCUGGGAACGGGGGUCCCCAGACUUGCCUGGCUGCGGCCUGUGGCGUGGCUCAAAGGGGGCCCAGCGCGGCCCAUCUUCAUCAACACAAGCUCAAGACCCUCGCGAGGGACCAAGCCUCGCGGGGUGGACGACAGGGAGCUUCCUCAGGCACGACCUCAUCAGGCGGGCUCACGAGGAGGCGGAGAGUUCAAGGCAGGGUACCUCGCGAGGUGCCCAUGACGCAAGCCAUGACGACCAAGGGCGCCACUCGGGCGCCAGCCCGCGCAGUGUCCUCCUUUCCUCUUUGGUGCAAAGGGAGCAAGCGCAGGCGAGAGCAUCAAGCAAAGGCAUCCAUUUCGGUGCAACAAGACCAAGACCAGCCCAACGGCAGGGAGGAAGUCAUUGUGGAGCCCAAGCAGGUGUCACCACCAGAGCCUUUGGCAGGCGAGGACCAACUUUAGUAAGGAUAGGUGUACCCGCUGUUCCCCUUCAAAAUGGCCAAUUGUUGGCGCCCUUCACACUCAAUAUUUGGGGAGAGGCCCAGGGCCAUUGACUAUAAAUAGGACUAGCCAUCCCCAGGGUAGGGCAUCUGGAUCCUCACCAAGAAACCAGGUGAUAGAGCGACUGAACUCCUCCUAGCAGUUUGUCGCACCAGCCAAGAACAGACACUCGCAAGGCUGUUCCUCCUUGUGUUGUUCAUCAUCAUCCCAAGAGGCAAUCCACCACACCACACACUUGAGUAGGGUAUUACACCACAAUGGUGGCCUGAACCAGUAUAAACCCUGUGUCUCUUGUGUUGUUCUUUUCGUAGUUUAGAUCCUAGCGAUUCGGCGAGGAGCAGGUAGAUAGAGGGCGAAAUCUCCGCGCCUACCCCAGUGUUCGAAUCUCAAGGGUCUGCCGGAACCCGAAAUUUGACAUAUACUUUGUUUUCCAUCAAGAUAUGGUCGAUGCUUCUUUUUGUGGCCGCCUAUUUCACCCUCCUUUAUUGGUGAGUAAUUGAUUCCUUUUUUGCCUCUGUUAAAACAGGGAUAUCUAAUCAACUUGUUACUAUUGCGUUAUUUUGCUUGGCUAGUGAAACACUUUUGUUUUAAGAGUGUUUUGUGCAGUUCAACUUGAAUGUCACACCAGCGACUUUGCUUAAUUUUUGUGGAACAACACAAAAGGAUAUCAAGGAUUUUCAUUUAUGUGUUGGGAUUUCUUUCAAGUCAUCCUCACGAGUUGUUUCAAAUCUUGGUCAAGAAAGGUCAGUACCGACUUUCAUCCACAUGAUGCUGCAGUGUGCUUUGAUAUGUUGUGCUACUUGUAUGGGUACUAUUUUGGAUAAAUGUUGAAUUGAAGCUAUUGAACUACUGUCUUUUACCAUUAAGUGGGCAAAAAUUGUUCCAACCCAGACAUGAUGCUUGUUUCUUUGUUACAACAAAACUCUACAUCACCCCUGAGGGAGUCCUGGACUAGGGGGUGUCCGGAUAGCUGGACUAUCAAUAUCCGCCGGACUCCUAGACUACGAAGAUAGAAGAUUGAAGACUCCGAUUCGUGUCCGGAUGGUACUUUCCUUGGCGUGGAAGGCAAGCUUGGCGAUACGGAUACGUAGAUCUCCUACCAUUGUAACCGACUCUGUGUAACCCUAGCCCUCUCCGGUGUCUAUAUAAACCGGAGGGCUUUAGUCCGUAGGACAACAUACAUCUCAACAAUCAUACCAUAGGCUAGCUUCUAGGGUUUAGCCUCCUUGAUCUCGUGGUAGAUCUACUCUUGUACUACCCAUAUCAUCAAUAUUAAUCAAGCAGGACGUAGGGUUUUACCUCCAUCGAGAGGGCCCGAACCUGGGUAAAAACAUUGUGUCCCUCGUCUCUUGUUACCAUCCGCCUAGACGCACAGUUCGGGACCCCCUACCCGAGAUCCGCCGGUUUUGACACCGACAUUGGUGCUUUCAUUGAGAGUUCCUCUGUGUCGUCACCGAUAGGCUUGAUGGCAUCUUCAACCAGCAACGCUGUCCAGGGUGAGACUUUUCUCCCUGGACAGAUCUUCGUAUUCGGCGGCUUUGCACUGCGGGCCAAUUCACUUGGCCAUCUGGAGCAGAUCGAAAGCUACACCCCUGGCCGUCAGGUCAGAUUUGGAAGCUUAAACUUCACGUCCGAUGUCCGCGGAGACUUGAUCUUCGACGGACUCGAGCCACAGCCAAGCGCGCCGCACUGUGACGAUGGGCACGAUCUAGCUCUGCCGCCGGACAGUGCCCUGGUGGCCGCACUCGGAUCCGCUUCGGCCAUUAGCCCGGAGCCGAUCGCCCAGAUCGAGGGCCGGUGGAUAGACGCCGCCCCGGGGGCUUCAACAUCCACGGUGAUGGAGCCGAACAAUGACCUUGUCCCCUGCAAGACCCGUGAUUCUGAGGCGCCGGACUCCUCGCCGGACUCCGAACCUCCCGCGCCCCUACCAAUCAGUUCGGAUUGGGCGCCGGUUAUGGAAUUAACCACCGCGGACAUAUUCCAACACUCGCCUUUUGGCGAUAUCCUAAAUUCAUUAAAGCAUCUCUCGUUAUCAGGAGACUCCUGGCCGGACUAUGUCCAGGAUGGUUGGAGUACGGACGGCGAAGAAAUUCAGAGGCCACCCACCACCCACUUUGUAGCCACUGUCGAGGAUUUAACCGACAUGCUAGACUACGACUCCGAAGACAUCGACGCUUUGGACGAUGAUGCCGGAGACGAACAGGAACCAGCGCCUACAGGGCACUGGAAGGCCACCUCGUCAUAUGACGUAUACAUGGUGGAUACCCCAAAAGAAGGGGAUGGCGAAGAAGCAGCGGAGGCAGACUCUUUAAAGAAGCAGCCCAAACGCCGGCGUCAGUGGCGCCGCUCUAAAUCCCGCCACAGCAAGAAUGGAGAUUCCGGCACAGGAGACAAUAACACUCCAGAGAGCGCCGAAGACAAUCCCCUCCAGCAAGACUCAGCGCAGGAGGAUGCAGAAGCAAGCCCUCACGAGAGGGCGGCAAACAAAGGGGUUGAGGAUGAUAACUAUAUGCCUCCCUCCGAAGACGAAGCAAGCCUCAAUGAUGAUGAAUUCGUCGUACCUGAGGAUCCCAUCGAACAAGAGCGCUUCAAGCGCAGGCUUAUCGCCACAGCAAACAGCCUAAAGAAAAAGCAGCAGCAGCUUCAAGCUGAUCAGGACCUGCUGGCCGAUCAAUGGACCGAUGUCCUCGCGGCCGAAGAGUAUAAACUCGAAAGUCCCUCCAAAAGUUACCCAAGACGCAAGCUGCUCCCUCGAUUAGAGGAGGAAGCAUACAUACCUUCAUCACCAGCGCACGACAUGGCUGACCGACCACCCCGUGGUCGUGACAGAGAGGCAUCCAGGCCCCCAGCCAAGACCGUACCCCGGCAUCGCUCCAAAAGUACGAAGCCAAGAGGGAACGCGCCGGACUUGCGAGACAUAUUGGAGGACAAAGCAAGGCAAUCCAGAUCCAUCUAUGGAUCACGUGGGCGCCCUACGACCCACGACGAAUACCGUCGUGCCGGAUACAAUAACCCAGGGAGGGCCGAACACAGCAGACAGUGCUCUCUUGAGCUGCGUCGCGAUAUCGCUCAAUACAGGGGCACCGCACACCCGUUAUGCUUCACUGAAGAAGUAAUGGAUCAUCAGAGCCCCGAAGGGUUUAAACCCGUAAACAUCGAAUCUUACGAUGGCACAACUGACCCCGCGGUGUGGAUCGAAGACUACCUUCUCCAUAUCCAUAUGGCCCGCGGCGAUGAUCUACAUGCCAUCAAGUAUCUCCCACUCAAGCUUAAAGGACCAGCUCGGCAUUGGCUUAACAGCUUGCCCGCAGAGACAAUUGGGUGUUGGGAAGACCUGGAGGCCGCGUUCCUUGAUAACUUCCAAGGCACAUAUGUGCGACCACCAGACGCUGAUGACCUAAGCCACAUCAUUCAGCAGCCAGACGAAUCGGCCAGACAAUUCUGGACACAGUUCUUGACAAAGAAAAACCAAGUCAUCGACUGUCCGGAUGCAGAGGCCCUCGCAGCCUUCAAACAUAACAUCCGGGACGAAUGGCUAGCACGGCACCUGGGGCAGGAAAAGCCGAAAUCCAUGGCAGCCCACACAUCGUUAAUGACCCGCUUUUGCGCGGGAGAGGACAGCUGGCUAGCUUGCAGCAACAAUCUCCGUAAAAAUUCUGGCAGUCCGGAUACUAAGGACAACAACGGCAGGUCACGUCGAACCAAAAACAAGCGCUGCAUUAACGGCGACGAUAAGGAGGAUACGGCAGUCAAUGCCGGAUUCCGAGGCUCUAAACACGGUCAGCGGAAGAAGCCAUUUAAAAGAACCACUCCGGGUCCGUCCAAUCUGGACCGUAUACUCGACCGCUUAUGCCAGAUACAUGGCACCUCUGAAAAGCCAGCUAAUCACACCAAUAGAGAUUGUUGGGUGUUCAAGCAGGCUGGCAAGUUAAUUGCCGAAAACAAUGACAAGGGGCUAAAUAGCGACGACGAGGAAGAGACCCGGCCGCCGAACAAUAGAGGACAGAAGGGUUUUCCCCCACAAGUGCGGACGGUGAAUAUGAUAUACGCGACCCAUAUACCCAAGAGGGCGAGGAAGCGCGCACUACGGGACGUCUACGCGAUGGAGCCAGUCGCCCCAAAGUUCAAUCCAUGGUCCUCUUGCCUGAUCACUUUCGAUCGAAGAGACCAUCCGACCAGCAUACGCCAUGGAGGAUUCGCCGCAUUGGUUUUAGACCCAAUCGUCGAUGGGUUCCACCUCACGAGAGUCCUGAUGGACGGCGGUAGCAGCCUGAACCUGCUUUAUCAGGAUACAGUGCACAAAAUGGGCAUAGACCCAUCAAGGAUUAAACCUACAAACACAACCUUUAAAGAUGUCAUCCCAGGAGUGGAAGCCAACUGUACAGGCUCAGUCACACUGGAAGUGGUCUUCGGAUCCCCGGAUAAUUUCCGAAGCGAAGAGUUAAUCUUCGAUAUAGUCCCGUUCCGUAGCGGCUAUCAUGCUCUGCUCGGACGAACCGCGUUUGCAAAAUUCAACGCGGUGCCCCAUUAUGCAUACCUAAAGCUCAAGAUGCCAGGCCCUCAUUGAGUCAUCACGGUCAAUGGAAAUACGGAACGCUCCCUCCGUACGGAGGAACAUACAGCGGCUCUCGCGGCAGAAGUACAGAGCAGCCUUGUCAGGCAAUUCUCAAGUCCGGCAGUUAGAAAGCCGGAUACAGCAAAGCGCGCCCGGAGCAAUGCCAACCAAGACCACCUGGCGCGGUCAGAUCACGCGUAGCAAUGCGGCCCCAGCCCCCGCCCGCACAUGAUCGCAAGAAUAACACUCCGCGUACAUCCUUACGCUUUGGAGAUUCCAUGGGCGCAGGGAAAGGGGCACGACCACAAUGGACCCAGAGUGCGGUUCGACCACACCAGGGGCUCGCAAGUGGGCCCCCCUUCCUUUUUAUUUUUUAUUUUAUGAACGCAGGACUCUGUUAACCAGAAGCCCUGUCCGGCGGCGAACCUGCCGAACUCACGAUACAACAGUCAGGGACCAAAGAAGGCCGCGACGAACAUUCAGGUGGUCUCAGUUAUGAGCAUUAAAUUCGAUUAAUAUACACCAAGUCUGUAGCUCAUCCCUGGAGAGGGACAUGUUUGUUUACUCCAAAUCCCUUGCUUACCGCACUAUUUGUAUCAGUCCGAUCUACUAUCAGACUUUCUUUUUAAAAUAAUGCAGCACCUUUUUAUUGCAAUUGCGUUAUCUUUUAUAUAUGUUCAUUAUAUGACAUCUUGCACCCGUAUAUUUUGGUACGGCCGAAUACGCCAGGGGCUUCUGUUCCCCAGAUUAUGGUGUGAUAAAGUCCGAACACUUUCACAAGUGCGGCACCCCAAACUUAUAGCAUUAUAUGAAUCGGCUCCGAAUCAUGUCUUGGGUCAAUAGUUGGGUUUGCCCGGCUCCCAUGUUUUGGUGCCUUACGUUCCGUUCCGUUGGCUAAGGUAGCACUGGGAGAACCACUGCGAUUGCGCCCCGGUUGAGCCGGGUUAACGCCUCAGUGGAGAAAGCUAAAACUGACUGGCAUGAUAAG